CCUACGGGUGGCUGCAGUCGAGAAUCAUUCACAAUGGGGGAAACCCUGCUGGUGCGACGCCGCGUGGGUGAAUGAAGGUCUUCGGAUUGUAAACCCCUGUCAUGUGGGAGCAAAUUAAAAAGAUAGUACCACAAGCGGAAGAUACGUCUAACUCUGUUCCAACAGCCGCGGUAAUACAGAGGUCUCAAGCGUGGUUGGCAGUCACUGGGCGUACAGCGUGCGGAGGCUGUUUCGUAAGUCGGGUGUGAAAGGCCCGGGCUCAACCCGCGGACGGCACAUGAUACUGCGAGACUAGAGUAAAGGAGAGGGAGGCGGAAUUCUCGGUGUAGCGGUGAAAUGCGUAGAUAUCGAGAGGAACACUCGGGGCGAAGGCGGGUUCCUGGACAUUAACUGACGCUGAGGCACGAAGGCCAGGGGAGCGAAAGGGAUUAGAUACCCCGGUAGUC
This 446-nucleotide ribosomal RNA is filed under the name uncultured bacterium. RNAcentral's name for it is "partial 16S ribosomal RNA". It matches the Rfam family "Bacterial small subunit ribosomal RNA", at positions 338 to 795 of the family's 1533-position model. The record is from RNAcentral.